UACGGAGGGGGCUAGCGUUGUUCGGAAUUACUGGGCGUAAAGCGCACGUAGGCGGCUUUUUAAGUCAGAGGUGAAAGCCCGGGGCUCAACUCCGGAACUGCCUUUGAGACUGGGAGGCUUGAACGUCGGAGAGGUGAGUGGAAUUCCGAGUGUAGAGGUGAAAUUCGUAGAUAUUCGGAAGAACACCAGUGGCGAAGGCGGCUCACUGGACGACUGUUGACGCUGAGGUGCGAAAGCGUGGGGAGCAAACAGG
RNAcentral lists this ribosomal RNA (253 nucleotides) under Alterirhizorhabdus solaris. Its description in RNAcentral is "Sphingomonas solaris partial 16S ribosomal RNA". It matches the Rfam family "Bacterial small subunit ribosomal RNA", at positions 524 to 776 of the family's 1533-position model. Lineage: Bacteria; Pseudomonadati; Pseudomonadota; Alphaproteobacteria; Sphingomonadales; Rhizorhabdaceae. RNAcentral also lists the same sequence under 1 other name. The record is from RNAcentral.